UUCUGACAGUGGUAGUUCCAAGGGGUCUUUUUGAGUACUCUUACGAGACCUCCAGACCCAGCCCAGCCCAGCCAUGCCACAGCUGUCUAGACUGGGCGUUUGCUUCCAAUUUUUUUUUUUUUUUUUGGCCCUGGAUUCCCUUUAUUUGUUCCAAAUGAACUCUUAGAAGGAACUCCAACAAAUAAAACAACUAAAUCAGAGCUGUUCCUUUUAAAGCAGGCUGGAGGCUGGGUUCCACGUCCUUUGCCUCUGCUCCUCAGCCCCUGCACUCUUGGUGGCCCUCGCGUUACUUCCGUGAACCCUUAGGAGUCUCUGGAAGACAUUAAAGCCACUCAUUGGGUGGACAGUCACUUUUGGUCAUUCCUGCUGAUCCAGGGACUUUCUGGUAGAUGAAUCGGUGGAUUUGAAAAUGGUCUCGUCUCAGAGGAUUUGAAGACAAUAAGAGUUUUGACCUAGGUGGACAACAAAUCUUGGCCCUGUUUUUCAUUGACUUAAUCUCAAAAUGAGGGCUUUUUCUUUUCUAAGUUCCAAUCCCUGGCUGCUUUGCUUGCUCUUCAUUUUAUUACUGAUUUUCCUUCAUGUGAGGAAAAGGGUAGGUGAGGAAUGCAUUUCUAUAUAAUCACACCUUUAAACUAAACUUGAACACCCCCAAUGCCCAUUAACUGAUGAGUGGAUGAACAAAAGGUUUCCAUUCCUUUAACUAUUCUCCAAACAAAGGAAUGAGUGCCAGGCACGGUGGCACACUCCUGUAAUCCCAGCUGCUCUGGAGGCUGAGGCAGGAGGAUUGCAAGUGCAAGGUCAGCCUGGGCAACUCGGUGAGACCCUGCUUCAAUGGGAUAUAGCUCAGCAGCAGAGCACUUGCCUUGCACAUGCUAGGCUCUGGGUUCAAUCCCCAAUACUGCCCCCUCCCCCCCAAAUGAAUUUCUGAUACAUGCUACAAUAUAAGUGAACCUUGAAAACAUCAUGCCGAGUAUAAGAGGCCAGACAUGCAAGAUAACAUGUUGUAUGAUUCCAUUUAUAUGAAGUGUCCAGACCAGGCAAAUCCCUAUAGAUAGAAAGCAGAUUAGUGGUUGGAAGGGGCUGGGGGAGGAGGGUUGGGCACUAAUUGCUUGUGGAUAUGGGAUAUCUUUUUGGGAGGAUUUGAAAAUGUUCUGGAAUUAGAAAGUGGUAAUAAUUGCAUAACUUUGAACAUGUACUAAAAACAACUGAAUUGUACACUUUGUGAUAUGUUUAAUUCCAUUUAAAAAUUAAAAUACACAUUCUAUUUGCAAAU
This 1273-nucleotide long non-coding RNA is filed under the name Marmota monax (woodchuck). The record is from RNAcentral. Lineage: Eukaryota; Metazoa; Chordata; Mammalia; Rodentia; Sciuridae.